GACGGAGGGUGCUAGCGUUGUUCGGAAUUACUGGGCGUAAAGGGCGCGUAGGCGGCCUGGUCAGUCGGAUGUGAAAGCCCGGGGCUCAACCCCGGAACGGCAUCCGAGACGGCCAGGCUGGAGACCGGGAGAGGAGAGUGGAAUAGCCAGUGUAGAGGUGAAAUUCGUAGAUAUUGGCUGGAACACCGGUGGCGAAAGCGGCUCUCUGGCCCGGUUCCGACGCUGAGGCGCGAAAGCGUGGGGAGCAAACAGG
This 253-nucleotide ribosomal RNA is filed under the name uncultured bacterium. RNAcentral describes it as "partial 16S ribosomal RNA". It matches the Rfam family "Bacterial small subunit ribosomal RNA", at positions 524 to 776 of the family's 1533-position model. The record is from RNAcentral.